Triticum urartu is the source of this 592-nucleotide long non-coding RNA. RefSeq lists it as uncharacterized. The record is from RefSeq and is a predicted model, not a curated record. NCBI's taxonomy places the organism in Eukaryota, Viridiplantae, Streptophyta, Magnoliopsida, Poales, Poaceae.
AAAAAGGUGGCACGCUCAUUCCAAAAUGGAGGGAUCACGUGUGUUGUGACUGCAUUUUCUAGUGAUUGAACUAUGAUUAAAGGGUUCGAUUUUAGCUACAGACCACAGUGCUGUAUCUAUUCGCCUACAUCAGGACCCACGGCCAUGCCAUCUCCUCUCUCUCUCUCUCACUCACUCCUUAGCAGCAGUGCUAUUCUCCAACUUUUGUAGGAGACUAGGAGGAGCAGACACACACCUUUGCAAAUGCAAUCAAUGGCGCUGGUGGUGGCCUACUGAGAGGAUUGAAUAUGUCGGAGGGGCAGAGCAGAUGGUUAAAACAAAUAGAUGGGACGAAAAUUUGAAAGGUAUUUUCAUUAAUAAGAGAUAUGAAUACACCGGAGCACGCGUGUAGGCUGAACCACACUAAUAAGAAAUUAAGAAUCAUUAAACCACCCUCUAAACUUGGAAGAAAAGAGGUGAUGCUAUCCUGUCGAACUCCUUCCAACAACUUUAGGCCCAUCAUCACCAAAUGCCAAAAGUUACGAUCUGGUUGGUGAGCUCGGAUCCUCUCAAGGGAGGCAGGCUAGUGCUUCUCUCUCACAUAUGAUAGUCU